RNAcentral lists this ribosomal RNA (440 nucleotides) under uncultured bacterium. RNAcentral's name for it is "partial 16S ribosomal RNA". It matches the Rfam family "Bacterial small subunit ribosomal RNA", at positions 338 to 795 of the family's 1533-position model. The record is from RNAcentral.
CCUACGGGAGGCAGCAGUGGGGAAUAUUGCACAAUGGGGGAAACCCUGACGCAGCGACGCCGCGUGAGUGAAGAAGGAUUUCGGUAUGUAAAGCUCUAUCAGCAGGGAAGAAAAUGACGGUACCUGAUUAAGAAGCCCCGGCUAACUACGUGCCAGCAGCCGCGGUAAUACGUAGGGGGCAAGCGUUAUCCGGAUUUACUGGGUGUAAAGGGAGCGUAGACGGUAGCACAAGUAUGGAGUGAAAUGCCGGGGCUUAACCCCGGAACUGCUUUGGAAACUGGGCAGCUUGAGUGCAGGAGAGGUAAGUGGAAUUCCUAGUGUAGCGGUGAAAUGCGUAGAUAUUAGGAGGAACACCAGUGGCGAAGGCGGCUUGCUGGACUGUAACUGACGUUGAGGCUCGAAAGCGUGGGGAGCAAACAGGAUUAGAUACCCUUGUAGUC